CUCCUCGGGGCUCUCAUUCCAUCUCACUCCCUAAUUCCAUGGACUUGGCCGUGAGCAGCCAUCCCUUUCGCCGCCUUCCUUCCGGGGGCAUUUCCAGGUCUGAGGAGGGUCAUUCUGACAGUGCCGACAGGACGGAAGGCUGGAACCGCCGCUCGCCACUCGCGUCUCCUUCCUCCUUCUUUCCCAGCCGGGAGGGUCCUCCGGGGGCCGGGAUCAGACAGCAGCUGCCUCGGAAACCUGUGUGACGCCAGUAUUUAUUCGGGAGMCGGGGCCAAGAAGGUGAAAGUUUCUUCAGAGUUAAAGGAGGUUMCCAGAAAGUGGCGGGGGAGCGAUCUGUCGAGCGAGGGGCACAGCUCAGGAGCCCUCCGAGGGGAAGCAGAUUUUCUCUUCCAAAAUGACUUUACGAGUUCUGGUUUUGUGUUUGGCAUAUUCUGGGUUUGGAAAGGCAAAUGUGCUUGUGGAGGCUGAGCACAGAAAAGUGAAGAUGGGUGACAAUGUGACUUUGAGCUGUGCCCUGAAAUUCCCCAUGGAUGUUCUGCAAGUGACAUGGCAAAAGGACUCAGAAGAGUCACGCGUUAAUAUAGCUACAUACAGUAAACUAAACGGACUAAAGAUUCACAAGCCCUAUGAAGACCGAAUGAAUUUCACAAGUCUGGAACUCAACAGGACAAGCAUAAYUUUUUGGGACACUAGAAUGGAUGAUUCAGGAUGUUACAAGUGCCUCUUCAAUGUUUACCCUUUGGGCCCCAUCUCAGGAGAUACCUGCCUGAGUGUUUUUGGUCUCAAUGCAUCUGUCCAUUACAACAUUUCUGAAGAUCAUUUGAUAGCCAUAUGUAACGCUGAUGGCCUCCCAGAGCCCACCAUCACCUGGACCAACCUGUUCAAUUCUACUCCUACACAAACGACAGUCAAGCACAAGAAUGGGGUUGUGUCCAUCACCAGUCAACUGGAAAUCCACAACAUUCAGAGCAUCAGUGCACAGGAUCUGACCUGCAGAGUGAGCAACACAAAUGAGAAAAUUGAAUUGCCUGUGAAACUAAAAGGAGAGGAGGGAUCGUCCUUGCUUUGGCUGGUGAUUAUUGUGGUGAUUUUAGUAGUCGUCAUAGUUCUGAUUAUGCUCUUCUGGAGGAGGCCAACAUGCAGGAGGAGUUGAAGUGGGCUUUGUCUAUAACCAGAAAAUAAAAUGGCUGGCAGCUGAAAGGGAGAAAAAAUAGAAUUCCUGUGAUAUGUGAAUAGUUGCCUCGCUGUUUCAAUUUCUCAUUCACUUCCUUGGGUCCUGGAAGAUUUCUGUCCACCUACCAGGUCAUUAGAAGCCAGCAUCCUGAAAUCGAUAUUACAUGUAGCAACUUGAGUGGCUGGAAAGAAGCAACAAAAAAAAGGAAAAAACAUCAUAACACUGCCCUGUCUAAAAGCUGAGCUGAUGGCUGAAACAACUGAAAUAACAUUUGUUAUCUGGUCUAGGCCCUUAAUCCUAAACAGGAGGACUGGAGGCCAAACACUUGCCUGCUCUCCAGAGAUUUUGCCAGGCAGAACCUUCUUUGCCCAUGCCACUCUUGAUUCUGCUGCUGUGCAAAAUAUAUUUGUCUUCUUCCAGUUAAGUUUUGAAAACAUCCACAGGUAGAAGUGCUGUAGACUUCCUGGGGAUUCUCUUGCAGUGCAUAAUUGCUCUUGCAGUACAGAGGGAUUUCAUUUUUGCCAACAUCUGUCUGCAAUUUUAUGAACUCUGAGUUCAUCACCCUCUUCCUGUCAUCUGUUUUUUCUUCUUUUAUCCAUCUAUUCCAAUUCCUUUUUCUCUAUCUUGUAAGGACCUGCUGGAUGUAAAAAUCACAGGACUCAAACCACACCAAAUUAAUCAAAAUUAUUGGRGAAGAGCAAUAGGUCUCCAAGCAGGUGACUAAAUAAAGGCAGAAGCAGCCACAGUUUAGAAAGAACAGUUGUAAGUAAUUUAUGUAAUAUAUGUGAUUUACUUUAUUUGCAUCUUUCUAAUCCUGGAGUGUUUGAUUCUAUUUGUUUUGUUUUGUUUUGUUUUGUUUUGUUUUGUUUUGUUUUGUUUUGUUUUGUUUUGGGUUUUUUGUAUUUUUUGGGGAUGUGUGUGGUGGGGUUAAAUAUGUAAGUGAAGAGGAGAUGGAAACAAAGGCCAGUAGUGGAAACAUUGUCUUCUCCAUCUUUCCUUUCCUGUUAAUGCCCUAUCCUACUCCUUUCUGAGCUGCCAAAACUCAUGGACUUUGUCARCRGCUUUUGUGCUCAUCUUAUGCACARCUCAGAAUAACCUUCCCUGUCUUCAUCCAUGUUUMUUGUGUCUUUUUAAAUCACUUAGACGGCCAAAAGCCAUUAUUCUGUGGCUGGAGCUCACUGGGUGGGAUGUCACAUGCUGAGCUCGCUCUUCAGUGUCACUGCUGGGGCCGUGAUGGUACCAGCUGUGAUUUCAGUUUACAGAGACUGAGCUACUGAUUUCUCAUGGUUUUGGUAGCAGAUAAAGACACUGCCCUAUUCUUAGGAGCUGGGACCUAAUUCUGCUCCUGUCCCAGGUCAGAUUGGAGCUCCUCUCCCACCACCCCAGGUUGCUCAUCACUGCCUGCCCAAGCCYGCUGAUCUGGCCAUUUCCAGGCUUACAGCUCCAGUUUCCAGACCCUCUGUUGCUGUGAAGCAGCAGGCUGCUUAUGAGAGCUGUGCACUGGGCAUUGCCCUGCAGCUCCUCAUCCUUGUGAGGGAUUGAAGUCUCCAGGUGCCCUCUGCCUCUGAGCUUGUUUUGGUUGGGACAGAGUUGAUUUUCCUGAUAGAAGCUAGUAAGACACCACCUUUCCGACAGCCCCCAUCCCUCCUGGGGGUUGUGCAAGCAGCUCUGUGGUGCUUUGUUGAUGUCUGGGGUUAAACCAUGACGGCCUCUGAACACCUUCACAGGGCGCUGUGCCUGCCCCACAGGGUGAAGGUUGCUAAAAAAAGCCUGUCACUGGGUGUGCCUGCUCAGUGGCCCAUUUCACUGACAGGAUAGACAGACAGGAGGACUGCAGGGGCUCCACUGAUGAUUUUUUGUUCAGCUGAUGAGUGCUUAUAUUUAAGGUGCUUCUCAGUCUUCCUUCUGUCUGAAUGUUUGUCGUUGUGUUGGAUCACUAACAGUAUUCUCUUUUCUUUUGGCUYUGAUGAGCAUUUGAGCAUCUGAAAUGUUCCAUUUCACCAGAGUGCAGUGCAUUUUGGACUGUGCUUUUUGUGUCAUUUGUUUACUAAGGGUACAAGCUGUCAAUCUGAAACAUCAGCAAUGAAGAUUUAAAACUUAGGACUCAGCUCUCAGAAUAAGUGUUUUGUUGCUUCCAGAGCAGUGGCCUCUCCAGACUCUGGUAAAAAGUUUUCUAUGUGUGUUUGCUUGUGUUACUGAGGACAUGAAGGGUGGCAUUUGCUCUACUAUUGUAAGACAAUAUAAAUUAUUUAUUUAUAUAUUUCACUUUUUCUAAUAAAAAAAAAAAUCUGAUCCAACCAAAACACCAACUGGUCCUUUUAUCUUUUCCAUAAUUGUUUGGGAUACCAGCAAUGUGUCCUUUCAAGCUGGGCUUUUUAGUUGUUUUGAUUUAUACUUUGUUUCAUUUCUGUACAGAAAGAGGAAGUUCAUGGGGUUUUUAAGGUGCUGUGGGGUAUUUUUUCCUUUUAAAAAAGUUUUUAAACAAAACUUUUGAGAUAAAUUUACAGGAGUGUUUUUGACCAUAGCAGGUGCAGUUUAGUUCAGAUUUGAUAAUAACUUCAGUCAAUCAAAACAGURUAUCCUAUAUUUUUAGUUAUUGUCUGUGUCAUGGUUUUUACCUAAUAAUUUUUWAUCUAAAGUUACAUGCUCUACUGAUACAUUAUCUGUCUUGUUUUCUGUGUUUCCCUGGAUGAAAAGAAACCAAAUAAAGCAAAUUUGAACAUAA
Molecule: RNA transcript, 3899 nt
Organism: Malurus melanocephalus (red-backed fairy wren)
Lineage: Eukaryota; Metazoa; Chordata; Aves; Passeriformes; Maluridae
Gene: CD200
Gene name: CD200 molecule
Exons: 7
Source: RefSeq, a predicted model, not a curated record